Molecule: RNA transcript, 4647 nt
Organism: Rhineura floridana
Lineage: Eukaryota; Metazoa; Chordata; Lepidosauria; Squamata; Rhineuridae
Gene: VPS35L
Gene name: VPS35 endosomal protein sorting factor like
Exons: 33
Source: RefSeq, a predicted model, not a curated record
GGCUGCCUGGGCUGUCGCGUCCGGCGGAGAGCAAGCGAUGAAAGGCUGCGCGGUGGGAAGGGAGAGCACGUGACGGGAGACAAGAUGGCUGCCUUUCCUUGGCACGCUAGACCAAGAAACUACAUUCAUGAACUGGAAUCAUGCAGGCUGGAAUCUGUAUCUGUGGAUUUUGGAGACUACCAUCCACUCAAACUCAUUACAGUCAUGGAAUCUAAGACAAAGAAAUUAGGUCGCAAAGGAAGCACUUCCUCGACCUCCUCUUCCUGUUCAGCGAUGGAUCCUCUGAGCAGCGUGUUGGAUGGCACUGAUCCUUUGUCACUGUUUGCCGCAACUGCAGAUCCUGUGCUGACUGGAACUAUGGAGAAUGCCAGAAAGAAACGUGACAAAGAUGACUCUCUGACUGUAGGCAGCGACUUUGAGCCCUGGUCAAGCAAACGAGGUGACAUCCUCGCUCGCUACACAACAAAUGAAAAACUCUCCAUUAAUUUGUAUAUGGGGUCUGAAAAAGGAAAAGCAUCGACCCCUGGAUCAGCAGUUUCUGAGAAGGUGCGGACAAGGCUGGAAGAGCUGGAUGAUCUUGAAGAGGGGUCUCAAAAGGAACUGUUAAACUUGACUCAGCAAGAUUAUACAAACCGGAUUGAAGAACUCAAUCAGUCUUUGAAGGAUGCCUGGGCCUCAGAUCAAAAAGUAAAGGCUCUAAAGAUAGUUAUUCAGUGUUCUAAACUUCUCUCAGACACAACCGUGAUUCAGUUUUAUCCAAGCAAAUUCGUCUUAAUAACAGACAUACUUGACACAUUUGGAAAGCUGGUAUAUGAAAGAAUAUUUUCCAUGUGUACGGAUAAUCGCAACUCCUUACCAGAUAAUUUUACUCCUGAAAACGUUGUUGAUACUGCCAAAGAAACCUGCUUGAACUGGUUCUUCAAGGUUGCUUCCAUCCGAGAACUCAUUCCCCGAUUUUAUGUGGAAGCAGCGAUACUGAAGUGCAACAAAUUUCUUUCCAAAACAGGAAUUUCUGAAUGUCUCCCACGCCUGACUUCCAUAAUCCGAGGGAUUGGAGAUCCUUUGGUUGCCGUCUAUGCUAGAGCAUAUCUCUGCAGAGUUGGGAUGGAAGUAGCUCCUCAUCUGAAAGAGAGCCUGAACAAGAACUUCUUUGACUUCCUUCUAACUUUUAAACAAAUUCAUGGGGAUACAGUUCAGAAUCAGCUGGUGGUGCAGUGCGUAGAGAUCCCAUCGUAUCUAACUCUUUAUUCUCCUGCAAUAGAUUGGAUUCUACAAUGCAUCUCUUACCGGGCUGCAGAGGUUCUACUGACCGAGAUGAUGGAAAGAUGCAAGAAGCUAGGCAACAACGCCUUGCUAUUGAAUUCAGUAAUGUCCGCCUUCAGAGCCGAAUUUAUUGCUGCAAGAUCUAUGGAUUUUAUUGGCAUGAUUAAGGAGUGUGAUGAAUCUGGUUUCCCCAAGCAUCUUCUCUUUCGCUCUCUGGGGCGGAACUUGGCCUUAGCUGACCCUCCGGAAGGUGAUCGACUUCAAAUAUUAAAUGAAGCCUGGAAAGUUAUCACAAAGUUAAAGAGCCCACAGGAUUAUAUCAACUGUGCAGAAAUCUGGGUGGAAUAUACCUGCAGACAUUUCACGAAGCGUGAGGUCAAUACGGUUUUAGCAGAUGUCAUCAAGCACAUGACGCCAGAUCGGGCGUUUGAAGAGGCCUACCCCCAGCUCCAGUCAAUAAUUCAGAAAGUUAUCACCUAUUUCCAUGACUUCGCCGUUCUAUUUUCAUUGGAUAAAUUCUUACCAUUCUUAGAUAUGUUCCAGAAAGAGAGUGUGAGAGUGGAGGUUUGCAAGUGCAUCAUGGAGGCUUUUAUUAAGCACCAGCAGGAGCCAACCAAGGACCCUGUCAUCCUCAAUGCCCUUCUACAUGUGUGCAAAACAAUGCACGAUUCUGUGAAUGCGCUGACACUAGAAGAUGAAAAACGAAUGUUGGCCUCUUUGAUCAAUGGAUUUUUAAGAAUGGUUUCGUUUGGGCGUGACUUUGAGCAGCAGCUGAGUUUUUAUGUUGAAGCCAGAUCAAUGUUUUGUAAUUUGGAACCGGUUCUCGUCCAGCUGAUUCAUAGUGUGAACCAGCUGGCGAUGGAAACGAGAAAAGUGAUGAAAGGGAAUCAUUCGAGAAAGACGGCUGCAUUUGUCAGGGCUUGUGUUGCCUUCUGCUUCAUUACAAUUCCAUCUCUAAUGAGCAUCUUCAUUCGUCUUAAUCUGUACUUGCACUCUGGACAGAUUGCUUUGGCAAACCAGUGCCUUUCUCAAGCGGAUGCCUUUUUCAAAGCGGCAAUAAGCCUUGUUCCUGAGGUACCAAAGAUGAUCAGCGUAGAUGGGAAGAUGCGCCCCUCCGAAGCAUUCCUCCUGGAAUUCCUCUGCAAUUUCUUUUCCACAUUGUUAAUCAUUCCUGACCAUCCAGAGCAAGGCGUGUUGUUUCUUGUGCGAGGCCUGCUAAACGUCAUCCAGGACUACACUUGGGAAGAUAACAGCGAUGAUAAAGUUCGGAUUUAUACAAAUGUGGUGCAUCUUCUCUCAGCGAUGAGUCAGGAGACUUACAUCUACCACGUAGACAAAGUUGAAUCCAACGAUACCUUGUAUGGUGGAGAUACCAAAUUCCUGGCAGAAACCAACAAGCUGUGUGAAACAUUAAUAGCCCAGAUCCUGGAACAUCUGAAGAACCUUGGAAAGGAUGAGACUUUAAAGCGUCAGAGCCAGCUGGCCCUCUGCCUCUUCAACAGCACCUUGGCCCACGGAGACCUGCGAAACAACAAACUCAACCAGCUUACUGUUAACCUGUGGAAUCUGGCUCAAAGGCACGGCUUUGCGGACACAAAAACCAUGGUCAAAACUUUGGACUAUGUCAAGAGGCAGAGCAAACGCCCCGAGCUAAGCCAUUUUACAGAACUGGCUGCUCGGCUUCCUCUGCAAUCCAGGACCUGACGCAUCUUCACCUGCUGGACUUUGCCAGACUGGAAGGCCGUUCUCGGCAUAGAAAACCCCCAGGCUGCAUCUUAGGCUAUUAUCGGAGUUCAAUAUCUUCUUUUCAUUUUGAAGCAUCCCUUGAUGUGCGUGACAGAUUUAUUUCCUCUGAAGCAGGAGGAAAAUGUGUCCUGACAGUGCCAUCCUUUCUGAAAUGAGGGCUUGUCUCCCACUGCACAGCUAUUAACCAUUAAAAGUGGCCAACUACAUGCCCAUGGGAAACUGAUGAGCAGGACCUGAACACGACAGCAUCCUCCCUAUUUAAUUCUACCACUCUCGGAGGAUCAGCCACCAAAGAAGCUGUGGGCACAGAUCAGAGGGAAGCCAAGGUGACUGCAGAAAAGCCAAUCUUUGGGGCAGAAUGUAAUUUGGAUGCCUCAUCAGUGCCGUGUGGGAAUAUAACAGACUUCAGUAUGUGGAGGGGUUGUGUGGGCAUAUGAACCAAGCCAGAGUUAGCUAGGCAAACCCAGUGCAGAAUAUUUUAUACAAAGCAAGUAAUGUGGGGCUGAUGCUUCUAGAGUGUUUCCUUUUCCAAUUUUUUUUUAAGCCGUAGCUCUUCCGAUAGUAAUAGGUAUCCGUUAAAUAGUGUGUUUGUGCUGAACCUACUGGAAACAUCUGGUUACCUAGAGGGUAGGGUUGCAACUCGCUAGAAAAAAAUACCUGGUUUACUUUUGUGCCUUUCAAAGGUUUGACAGGCAGAAGUCGAUCAGCCGCUACUUCCUGCAGAUCAAGCUGUUCUGACAGGCAUGUGCAGCUUCAAAAGCUGGCAAGCCAACCCAGUGGUAGGUAAAUGCCAUUGGCCCUCUCCUGGAUGAGACCGUAUAGGCUGCCCCUUGCCCAGCCAUAGCGCAUGCUGCCAAUCUGUGUGUAACCCUCAGCACUCCAUCAGAGCUGCCCAUCAGCACUUGAUCAAAAGAUUGCUUUCCUUUUCCCCCUAAAUAAGGUUCUGUGCCUGCAGAGGGGAAAUCUGUGACACUCCAGCUAGUAUUGGACUCGACUGCAGUCAGGGAAGCCGCUAGACAGAAAGAAUGAAAGUUGAAGUCCAGCAAUAUCUGGAGGGCCACAGGUUCCCUACCCUUGCUCUGGGCUAGGGGUGGGGAACCUUUCUCAGCCUGAGGGCCACAUUCCCUUCUGGGAGCCACAUGCCAGUGGUGAGCAGGGCCAGUGGCAGAAGUGGGUAGAGCAAUGAAUGCAAAGGUUAACUUUAUACACUAGGCUAGUUGCUACAUAUGUACACACACUGUUCUCUAUGGAGAGAAGGGAGAGGCAGGAUGAGAGAUCACAGUCACCAUUCCCCAGCCAGGCAAAAAUCACUCGGGGUACAAAGCAGGGCUGGAGGGCUGCAUUUGGUUCCCUAUCCCUGCCCUAUCCCUUACUUAUCAAACUGAAGUCCAGCUUUCCUCGUUACUAACUUCAUAACAACACUUUUGUGACACCUACCCUUUGGAAGUCCCUCCCUUUAAACAUUACACAGGUGCCAUCUCUGUUACCUUUUCCGUGCCUACUGAAUACAUUCCUCUUUCAACAAGCCUUUUAAGUAGAGACCUUAUCCCAGUCUGUGUCUGAAUGGCUUUUUGUGAUGUUUUUAAAGAUACUUUGUUUUUAAGAUGUUUUUAGAGUUUUGAGCCUUGUUUGCUACCC